AUACGGAGGGUGCGAGCGUUACUCGGAGUCACUGGGCGUAAAGCGUCCGUAGGCGGUCGGGUAAGUCGGGUGUGAAAGCCCCGGGCUCAACCUGGGAAGUGCGCCCGAUACUGCUCGACUCGAGUGCGGGAGAGGAUGGCGGAAUUCCCGGUGUAGCGGUGAAAUGCGUAGAGAUCGGGAGGAACACCAGUGGCGAAGGCGGCCAUCUGGCCCGCAACUGACGCUGAGGGACGAAAGCGUGGGGAGCAAACAGGAUUAGAAACCCUAGUAGUCC
This 274-nucleotide ribosomal RNA is filed under the name uncultured bacterium. RNAcentral describes it as "partial 16S ribosomal RNA". It matches the Rfam family "Bacterial small subunit ribosomal RNA", at positions 523 to 796 of the family's 1533-position model. The record is from RNAcentral.